AAAAAAAGUGCCACCAAAAUCAGUCUUCUCAAUUCUGCUAAAACUUUUACUCACUCUCACAGUCACUCACUCAGUCAUGCCUACAAUUCUCUUCCUCUCUUCCACUCCCCAUUUCCCCUCCCAAUAUUCUCACCUCACCGUCUCAUCCUCCUUAAACCCAAAACCUCCCAAAACCCAUAACCCCACUCACUCCUCCAAAUCCAAUACCCCAACCCCAACCACCACAAACCCAGAAUUCUCUGUUUCCUCAAACCCACUUUCACAAUCCAAUGCCACCGUUAAAGUUCCCACACCUCCAUGGAUGAAGGGUCCCCUUCUUCUUCAACCCCAUGAAGUUCUCGACCUCUCCAAACUCCACACCAAGAAGAGCUCUAACAAUGAAAGAGUGGAAAAGUCUGAUAAGGCCCUGACUGAGAAAGUUGGUGUCAGAGGCAAGAGAGCGGUGGGAAAGAUCGUAAGGCAAAUUGAAAAGCUUCAAAAAAACGAUCUUUCUGAAGAAACCCAGAUGGGUUCUGGUGAGUUUGGGCUUGAAGUGUGUUUGGAAGGGCUUGGAGAAGAUGGUAGUAGUGGUGAGAGAGUUAUAGAGAAAAUGCCAUGGGAGAAGGAUGUGGAAAAGUUAGUUUUUCGGAGGAUGAAGAAGGAAAAGGUGGUAACUGCUGCGGAAUUGAGGCUUGACAAGGCCUUGCUUGAGAGGUUGAGAGGUGAGGCCGCUAAGAUGAGGAAAUGGGUGAAGGUGAAGAAAGCUGGUGUCACUCAAGGUGUGGUUGAUGAGGUUAGACUGCUUUGGAGGAGGAAUGAGCUUGUUAUGCUGAAGUUCGAUGUCCCUUUGUGCAGGAAUAUGGAUAGAGCUCAAGAAAUCGUUGAGACCAAGACUGGAGGUUUGGUUGUUUGGAGUAAGAAAGAUAAUCUUGUUGUAUACCGAGGAUGCAAUUAUCAGUUAACUCCGAAGAAAUUUCUAAACACUCGUGCAUGGCUUGCUGGCAGUCAAGAAAUGCCUCUCUACAAAAUGGGUCAGCCACAGUUGGAAAGAAACUCUGAUACUUUUCAAGUUAACUCCGAUGAAAGUGCUGUAGUUGAAAAGAUUUGCGGAAAGGACAGUAAGAGAGAGACUUUGCAUAGUAGCAUCUUUUUAAAUGAAGAUUUGAAUUGCCAAGCAGUAUGCGGAUCACUUUAUGAGAGGGAAAUGGACAGGUUGUUGGAUGGCUUGGGACCUCGCUUCAUUGACUGGUGGAUGCGCAAACCUUUGCCAAUAGAUGCGGACUUACUUCCUGAAGUGGUUCCUGGAUUUAGGCCACCAUUUAGGCUUUGUCCACCACAUACUAGAGCAAAGUUGACAGAUGAGGAUUUGACAUCCUUGAGGAAGCUUGCUCGCGCUUUACCUACUCAUUUUGUCCUUGGGAGAAAUAGAAAACUUCAAGGCUUGGCUGUGGCUAUCUUAAAACUUUGGGAAAAAAGUCUUAUAGUGAAGAUUGCUCUGAAGUGGGGAGUCCCAAAUACAAACAAUGAGGAAAUGGCGUUUGAACUCAAGAUUCUUACAGGUGGGGUUCUUUUGUUGCGUAAUAAGUUUCUGAUAAUACUUUAUAGAGGAAAGGACUUCCUUCCUGGAAGAGUAGCAAAUUUAGUAUCGGAGAGAGAAACUAAGCUCAAAGGAUUCCAACUUCAUGAAGAAGGUGCACGUCUUAAAGCGAUUGAAACUAUUUGUUUAGAUAAUGGCCCAACAGAAAACACUAGUAUGUCUGGAACUUUAUCAGAAUUCCAGGAUAUCCAAACAGAGUUCAGGGACCUGAAAAAUGGAAAUUCAGAUGUUGAAAUUAAAUGUGAAGCUGAAAAACAAAGAUUAGAGAGUGAGCUAAGAAAGCAAGAGCACAAGCUUUUUAUUCUUAACAUAAAGAUUGAUAAGUCAAUGAAGGAGUUAUCAAAGUUGAAUGCUGCAUGGGCACCAGCAGAGCAGGAUGCAGACCAGGAAAUGAUGACAGAAGAAGAGAGACUGUGUUUCCAGAAGAUAGGACUGAAGAUGGAUAGUUGUUUAGUUCUUGGUAGGCGUGGGGUCUUUGAUGGUGUUAUAGAAGGCCUGCAUCAACACUGGAAAUACAGAGAAGUAGUCAAGGUGAUUACAAUGCAGAGAUUGUUUCAUCAGGUCAUUUACACUGCUAAACUGCUUGAAGCAGAAAGUGGUGGAAUUCUUGUUUCAGUGGACAAGCGAAAAGAAGGUCAUGCUAUAAUUAUUUACCGUGGGAAAAACUACCGACGGCCUCUAAAACCAGAGCACAAGAAUCUUCUGACUAAGAGAAAAGCAUUACAUAGAUCCAUUGAGAUGCAGAGACUUGGAUCGCUGAAGUAUUUUGCUUACGAGAGACAGCGGGCAAUCACAGAUUUGAAACUCAAAUUGGCAGAGCUGCAGGAUAGCAGGUUGGUCGAUCAAGGAGAAUGUUAAGUUUUACAAAACCUUAGGUAAUGGAUUUAUCAUGCCAUGAUUCCUCUUAAAACGUUCAUCUUGUUUGGGAGAUGAAGGAUGUGGACGUGCCAUUGGAGGGGAAUUCCCCAUCUGCUACUCACCAAAUUACUUUGCAAGACUGUCAAGGUGUAAGCUAAAUUCAGAAGGUGAGCCCCAAAUAUAUGUGUGCCUCAAGGGCAUCAAUUAUAGGCAAGUUUCCCUCUGGUUAGGUGCUACAUUAGCAUUCAUCCAAACAUAUUGAGCCUCACCACUUGAUUUGACUUAAUGAGUCAUUAAAACUGGCAUAUUGGAACUGAAAAUUCAUCUAGAUUGGCUUUAGGAUAGGCAUUCUGAAUGUGUCAUAUGAACGGUUUUUAGUUAAUAAUGUGUCAUAUGAACUCCUGCAACAUAGAUAGGUGUUUUCACCGUUGGUUGUAUCACUGUAUGAUGAAUUAAGCCAGAGCAUCUAUAAGUUAACUUGCUUGAAAUAUUCUCUCAAAUAGGACUGAAUAGAUAAUUUUGGGAAUUAGUAUUGCAUAUUCAUGUGGCUAGUGUAAAAAUUAGUCAUUCUUUUAUGAAUGGACCACUAUAGAUACUCGUUGGGUUAUUGACUACUAAAAUACAUGUGGUGACCUUGACUAAUUUGUUGAUGAUCCAUAGCCGACCCCCAAAAAUUUGGGACUAAGGCUUUGUUGUUGUUGUAUCAUGUAUUCUUGCUUUGAGACAGCUAAUUUUAGUUGACCAUCUCCAAGAUCUUCUGUAUCAAACAAAAUUUGCGAUUAAGUACAUCCUACAUUAAUUGUCAAGAUAGUUCCAUGUCUACUCUUGAAAAUACCUGAAUAAUCACAUAAAUGAAUAACUUAGAUUUUCUUGCAUAUGUAUUAUCCAAUAGUUGGGUGUUAAAUGACUGCAUAUUGUGUUAAU
This is an RNA transcript of Quercus lobata, 3358 nucleotides long. It is a transcript of the gene named chloroplastic group IIA intron splicing facilitator CRS1, chloroplastic-like, with no coding region annotated. NCBI's taxonomy places the organism in Eukaryota, Viridiplantae, Streptophyta, Magnoliopsida, Fagales, Fagaceae. The record is from RefSeq and is a predicted model, not a curated record. The transcript is spliced from 9 exons.